GAAAAAAAAAAAGUUAAUUUGUAAAAAGCUCUUACAAAGAACUUUUUGGGUCUCACAGCUCUUUUAAUAAGAUACUCGUACUUCGCUAAAAAGUUUCCAAAACUCUGCUUACCAAACAAGAAGCCUCAAGUCCUCAGCACAGCAGUUAAAAUGAAGACAGCACAAUUCACUUUUAUCUAGGGUUUUUACAUUCAUCUUUGCUCCAAUUUCUCAGAUCAUGGAGAAGAGGAUUCAAAAUUCAGAUCGAAUAUCUAAUUUACCAGAACCCAUUAAAACGCAUAUACUUUCGUAUUUGUCAACUAGGGAUGCAGCAAGAACUAGCAUUUUAUCUAGCAUUUUUCGUAUUUGUCAAUUGUUAAGGAAAGGGAGGAAUUUUAUGCUUUUCUUGAUAGAACCCUUGGGUCAAUUUCGAAGUUGGAAGUGCUCAAACUUUAUAUACCUCAGUAUGAGUUGGAGUUGAAGUCGCGGUUAGAUCAUUGGCUUGAUUGUGUUGUUGGUUGUCGCGUUAGAACUCUAAGCUUGGAAAUUGGUGGUAGGAAUGGUCCUAGGUAUAGUUUGCCUAAGAGUGUGCUUAGUGUGAACUUCAUCACUACGAUGAAUUUGAAAGGUUGUGAGUUGAUUUCGGCUUCUUUGGCAAAUACCCAAUUGCCUUCAGUGACAAAGCUUAGCCUUGUGAAUGUUUAUUUAGAUGAGGGUUUUAUGAGAAAAGUUGAAGAAGGCUCCCGUUUACCUAAAGGCUGACAUUAAGAACGAUAAGUGGUAUGCUAGACUCGUUAAGUUUCUCUCCAAGCUAGGCAAUAGUGAACAACUGUCAAUCUGUGUUGGUUUGGAAGAGGUAAUAUAAGGAAUGGUUCUUCCUUUCCUUAACUCAUUUUGUAUUUCUUUUUAGUCUUUUCAUCACAUUGCUUUUAUGUCAAUUGGAUUGGAAAACUAAUGAUUUGUAUUUGAGGGAGUUGUGUUUGUCAAUAAAGGAUCUUAUAGUUCCAGAAAAAGUGAGGAUGAAGUCUCGCCCUCCCCUCCAUGGCAUCAAGCAUUUGAUAGUAUCACUCCGUGCAUCAUUUAUAAAACGUACUCCUGUCACCUUUGUCGAGGCUCUUUUGUGGCUUGCACCUCGUCCAGAGUCUAUAUUUAUAUAUAACGACUUCAUUCCAAUUUACAAAGUGCUUAAGGUGCUGGAUAGGAUGAAUUUUGAAAUAUAUGAUUGAGAAAUAUGAGCAUAUGUAGGAGCUAUGGGACACCUCUUGCAACAAAUAUCUUGUCUUGCUCAUACCAAGCCAAAAAAAAAAGAAGAGAGUUUCACGUACGAGAUACCACUGAAAGGCGUGAAAAAAUGCGGUUGUUGGAAGACACCUGCCAUCAUAUGUUGGCGGCACGCCCUUGAAAAAGUAUUGCUUGAGAACCAAGAGGGGGAUGAAGAUGAUACAAGACUAGCCAAUUUCUUCACUAAGGGAAGGAUUGAUGAGAAGAUGGUGUCUUUUGUCAAGAGUGUGAAGCCUAAAAAGAAAAAAACUUUUCAUUUUGUUUCUAGUCACUGGUUGUUUGCUAGAAUUAGGUAGAUGGAAAACUUUCAAGGCAUUUGAACAUAUUAAAAUAUUAAGGUAGAUGCAAGCUGCUACUCUCACAAAUCUGUAGACUUCGCGACUAGCAGAGUCACCCUUUGUUAUAUGUCCAUCUGAAAUGAACAUGCGGAGUUUAAUUUUGUAAGAACUGCGGAAGUUUUUUUUUUUUUUUUUUUUUUGUAACCAUGGGGCUUUGAAAACGUAUGUUUAUUUUUAAGUGCCCUAUAUUCGUACAAUAGAUGUUGCGACUAGCUUAGUUGGCCAAGUGUAUAGCUAAGAAUUUUGGAGUAGAUUGACUUGUAAGCGAUGCCGAUUUAUUAGUUUUUUUUCCUACCUUAAAAAAUCAUUUACAUUAGGUA
Molecule: long non-coding RNA, 1918 nt
Organism: Chenopodium quinoa (quinoa)
Lineage: Eukaryota; Viridiplantae; Streptophyta; Magnoliopsida; Caryophyllales; Amaranthaceae
Exons: 4
Source: RefSeq, a predicted model, not a curated record